GUUGAAGAACGUAGCGAAAUGCGAUACUUGGUGUGAAUUGCAGAAUCCCGUGAACCAUCGAGUCUUUGAACGCAAGUUGCGCCCGAAGCCAUCAGGUUGAGGGCACGUCUGCCUGGGCGUCACAUAUCGUUGCUCGAUGCCUAUCGCGUUGCGAUAGGACUUAGGGCGAAUGAUGGCUUCCCGUGAGCGUUGUUGCCUCGCGGUUGGUUGAAAAUCGAGUCCUUGGUAGGGUGUGCCAUGAUAGAUGGUGGUCGAGUUAGCACGAGACAGAUCAUGUGCAUGCUCCCCAAAAUAUGGCCUCUGUGACCCACACACGUCUUUUGACGCUCAUGACGAGACCUCAGGUCAGGCGGGGCUACCCGCUGAAUUUAAGCAUAUCAAUAAGCGGAGGA
RNAcentral lists this unclassified non-coding RNA (392 nucleotides) under soil metagenome. RNAcentral describes it as "partial contains 5.8S ribosomal RNA, internal transcribed spacer 2, and large subunit ribosomal RNA". The stretch from base 1 to 122 matches the Rfam family "5.8S ribosomal RNA", at positions 35 to 154 of the family's 154-position model. The record is from RNAcentral.